CCCGCUGAACUUAAGCAUAUCAAUAAGCGGAGGAAAAGAAACCAACAGGGAUUGCCUUAGUAACGGCGAGUGAAGCGGCAACAGCUCAAAUUUGAAAUCUGGCUCUUUCAGGGCCCGAGUUGUAAUUUGUAGAAGAUGCUUUGGGUGUGGCUCUGGUCUAAGUUCCUUGGAACAGGACGUCAUAGAGGGUGAGAAUCCCGUACGUGACUGGUUGCCUUCGCCCGUGUAAAGCUCUUUCGACGAGUCGAGUUGUUUGGGAAUGCAGCUCAAAAUGGGUGGUGAACUCCAUCUAAAGCUAAAUAUUGGCGAGAGACCGAUAGCGAACAAGUACCGUGAGGGAAAGAUGAAAAGCACUUUGGAAAGAGAGUGAAACAGUACGUGAAAUUGUUGAAAGGGAAACGCUUGAAGUCAGUCGCGUCGACCGAGACUCAGCCUUGCCUUGGCUUGGUGUACUUCUCGGCCCGACGGGUCAGCAUCAAUUUUGCCCCUCGGAUAAUGGCAAGGGAAAGGUGGCACCUUUACGGGUGUGUUAUAGUCUCCUGUCGCAUGCGAGGGGUGGGAUUGAGGAACUCAGCACGCGCCUCGGUGUCGGGGCUUCGGCCCACGUCCACGUGCUUAGGAUGUUGGCGUAAUGGCUUUAAACGACCCGUCUUGAAACACGG
RNAcentral lists this ribosomal RNA (662 nucleotides) under uncultured fungus. Its description in RNAcentral is "eukaryotic LSU rRNA". It matches the Rfam family "Eukaryotic large subunit ribosomal RNA", at positions 24 to 664 of the family's 3401-position model. Lineage: Eukaryota; Fungi. The record is from RNAcentral.